Molecule: ribosomal RNA, 253 nt
Filed under: uncultured bacterium
Lineage: Bacteria
Description: partial 16S ribosomal RNA
Rfam family: Bacterial small subunit ribosomal RNA
Source: RNAcentral
UACGGAGGGAGCUAGCGUUGUUCGGAAUUACUGGGCGUAAAGCGCACGUAGGCGGCUUUUUAAGUCAGGGGUGAAAGCCCGGGGCUCAACUCCGGAAUUGCCUUUAAGACUGCAUCGCUCGAAUUGUGGAGAGGUAAGUGGAAUUCCGAGUGUAGAGGUGAAAUUCGUAGAUAUUCGGAAGAACACCAGUGGCGAAGGCGACUUACUGGACACAUAUUGACGCUGAGGUGCGAAAGCGUGGGGAGCAAACAGG